GAUGAACGCUGGCGGCGUGCCUAAUACAUGCAAGUCGAGCGAACGGACGAGAAGCUUGCUUCUCUGACGUUAGCGGCGGACGGGUGAGUAACACGUGGAUAACCUACCUAUAAGACUGGGAUAACUUCGGGAAACCGUAGCUAAUACCGGAUAAUAUUUUGAACCGCAUGGUUCAAAAGUGAAAGACGGUCUUGCUGUCACUUAUAGAUGGAUCCGCGCUGCAUUAGCUAGUUGGUAAGGUAACGGCUUACCAAGGCAACGAUGCAUAGCCGACCUGAGAGGGUGAUCGGCCACACUGGAACUGAGACACGGUCCAGACUCCUACGGGAGGCAGCAGUAGGGAAUCUUGCGCAAUGGGCGAAAGCCUGACGGAGCAACGCCGCGUGAGUGAUGAAGGUCUUCGGAUCGUAAAGCUCUGUUAUUAGGGAAGAACAUAUGUGUAAGUAACUGUGCGCAUCUUGACGGUACCUAAUCAGAAAGCCACGGCUAACUACGUG
This 497-nucleotide ribosomal RNA is filed under the name uncultured bacterium. RNAcentral's name for it is "partial 16S ribosomal RNA". It matches the Rfam family "Bacterial small subunit ribosomal RNA", at positions 28 to 507 of the family's 1533-position model. The record is from RNAcentral.